AUUCCAAUGUCCCAAUGGAUAAGGCGCUGGUCUACGAAACCAGAGACUCUGGGUUCGAUCCCCAGUGGAGUC
This 72-nucleotide transfer RNA is filed under the name Arabidopsis lyrata subsp. lyrata. It matches the Rfam family "tRNA". From Rfam's summary of the family: Transfer RNA (tRNA) molecules are approximately 80 nucleotides in length. Their secondary structure includes four short double-helical elements and three loops (D, anti-codon, and T loops). Lineage: Eukaryota; Viridiplantae; Streptophyta; Magnoliopsida; Brassicales; Brassicaceae. The record is from Rfam by way of RNAcentral.